RNAcentral lists this transfer RNA (73 nucleotides) under Ixodes scapularis (black-legged tick). It matches the Rfam family "tRNA". Rfam says of the family: Transfer RNA (tRNA) molecules are approximately 80 nucleotides in length. Their secondary structure includes four short double-helical elements and three loops (D, anti-codon, and T loops). The record is from Rfam by way of RNAcentral. Lineage: Eukaryota; Metazoa; Arthropoda; Arachnida; Ixodida; Ixodidae.
CCCUGGUUAGCUCAGUUGGUAGAGCGCUCCACUUGUAAUGGAGAGGUCCCGGGUUCGAUACCCCGACCAGGCG